CGCCGCCAUUGGCAUCACCUCCGUCCAGACACCUCCCCCGUGUGUCUCCGGGGCAUAGUGAUGAUUUGUAUGCCCGUUUGACUGAAUUUAUAGCGGAGGAGGUCGGCGCGCUACGACGAUAUUUGACGGAGAGGGUCGAUGAUCUGGGACGAGAGUUGACAGGGAGGGUCGACGAUCUGGCAGGUAGGGUUGACUAUCUGACAAGGAGGGUCGACGAUAUGGG
RNAcentral lists this long non-coding RNA (223 nucleotides) under Olea europaea (common olive). RNAcentral's name for it is "long non-coding RNA (OEUR_LNC000027)". Lineage: Eukaryota; Viridiplantae; Streptophyta; Magnoliopsida; Lamiales; Oleaceae. The record is from RNAcentral.